CACACACGACACGCUCAGCAUCCGCGCUUCUUCCACCCCCCGCCUCCCAGGAUUACCGUUCGGGACCGCCGCUCUCGCAGGCGGGGCCGCCUCUGGUUUCCGGGGCUAAAGCGCCGCUUCUCCUUUCCCCGGGGAUCCACCCUGCGGCUCGGCCGCCUCCCGCGCUCACUGCGCUAGCUCAGCCCCCCACAACCCGAGCUCCUUUGGUGGGACGGGGCAUCGCCCCGGUGAGCACCUCAACAGCAGGAAAAGAAAUCCUGGUUUUCCCGUUGUUCUGCAGAAAUUUUAAGCAGUCUGCAGGCACUGCAAUCCUUUUCAAGUGAUCAAAGAGUUAUACUGCUGUUCUGGCAACACAGAAUAUUCAAAAAGUACGGAAUUGCAGAAGAUACUUGAUAGCUGUGAUGAUUCAGAAGAAUUUGACCACCCGACGAUCUCAUUUGGCUUAAAAUAAACUUGGCUUUAAUAUUUUUUUCCAAACUCACAAACAGGAUAGGUACUGGAAAAGGAAGCAAUCUAUUGAGAGUACAUGGUGCCUGUGGACUGAGGUCACCUUUUACACUGGGGACUUUUAAGUCAGAAGCUGAAUUACUUGGUCUGAAAAUGUUUUCAUUAUCAUGGGUUGGUCUAGGGAUGAUGUAAUGUUAAUGAACAGAGGAGCUGCCAACAAACAUGAACUGUAUUUACAGACUUGGCAAUGACACACAAUAUCCUGAAUGUGUGGCCCCAACCUCAAAUGCUGUGAGACAUUGCUCAAGUAACAGCACAGAUAAGAAGGCACAGUUUUUCUGACAGAGAAACUGUAAUAAAGAGCUGCAGGUAAAGUUUCCUGGCAUUGCAUUCAUUUGGCAGUCCUUCUGAUAAAAUCCAAUUAAAUGCUUGUAUUCAAUUGUUCUCUCCUCGUUUUUCUUGUGCAGUGCCAAUAGCCUUUGAUCCAAACCACCUCCUCUAGCAAGACCCACUUUCUCCAGGGAAUACGUGCAUUGGAGGAGGAGGAAUUGGGUUACUUCUCUCCAGUUCACAAAUGGAAACAGCUCUGACUCAGCCUCAUGGUCAUUCACAGAGAAUGAGUGGUACAGACCUCAUCCUGAACAACAAGAAGCAGCACCAGUGAAUUUUAUCACAUGAAUGCACAAUGCACAUGAACAGUCUCUGCCUUCAUGUUCCUAAGAUCAAAAUUUAAAACUUCUUGGGACACGUGGCACUGACAAACUCCAAAGCUCACAUUACAAAACAUUCAAAUGACAUUUACUUUUCCUGUUUCUGCAUCUACUGUGGAAACCAAACUUCAAAACUCAAUUAUCAAUUGCCAUUGAAGAAGUAUGUUUGUGUACUGCUCAUUUCCAUGGCUUUGAAGAGAAUAAAGCCUGUGAUAGUAGCCUGCAACUAGAAACUGCCACCUAAGUUUCACAGAGAAUUUUGGUAAAGCCAGAAUGUGACAUCACCUUAAAUCCCAACCGCAGUGCAGUCAAGGAAAAUUCCCAUUAGCUUCAUGAGCAUCUGGAUUUCUUACACUGUUGUUCUGGGUUUGCAUGGCAAGGUUUGGCAGUGGGAGGGCUGCAGGGGUGGCUUCUGUGAGAAGUUGCCAAAAGCUUCCCCAUGUCUGACAGAGCCAGUGCUAGCCAGCUCUAGGACAGACCCUGCCCUGGCCAAGGCAGAGCCCAUCAGUGAUGGUGGUGGUGGCCUCUGGGAUCAUAAGAGUUAAGAAGAGGAACAAGUUACUGCGCAGGAGCAAACUGCAGCCAGAGAAGACAGGAGUGAGAAUAUGUGAAAGAAACAGAUCUGCAGGCUCCAAGGUCAGUGCAGAAGGAGAGGGAGGGGGUGCACUGUGCACUGGAGCUGAUUCCCCUACAGCCCAUGGUGAGGCAGCUCUGCCCCUAUAGCCCACGGAGGUUAAUGGUGGAGCAGAGAUCCACCUGCAGCCUGUGGAGGAUCCCACACUGGAACAGGGGCAUGCUGUGGAUGCCAUGACCCUGUGGGAAGCUCACACAGGAGCAGAUUUACUGGCAGAGCUUGUGACCCCACAGAGGGGGCCCAUGCUGGAGCAGUCUGUGCCUGAAGGACUGUACCCAAAGGGAGGGACUCAUGCUGAAGCAGUUUGUGAACAGCAGCCCAUGGGAAGGACUUAUGCUGGAGAAUUUUUUGGAGAACCUUCUCCCAUGGAGAGACCCCUUGCUGGAGCAGGGGAAGAUUGUGAGGAAGAAGGAGCAACAGAGACAACUGACAGAUGAACUGACCACAAUGCCCAGCCUCUCCCCCUGAACCACUGGGGGAGGGGGAAAGGUAAAGAAUUCAAGUGUAUAGCUAAGCCUGGGAAAAAGAGAAGUACGGUGGGAAGAUGUUUUUAAGAUUUGGGGUUAUUUCUCAUUAUCUUGACUUUGACUUCCCUAAGUCAACUCUGUUUUGCUUGUAACAGUAACUUGUGAGUGAUAGCUCACUGUGCUUAUCUUGACCCAUGAGACUUACACUUUAUUUUCUCUCCCCUGUCCAGCUCAGGAGUAAUAGAGCAGCUUUAGUAGGCACGUGGCAUCCAGCCAGGGUUAAUCCACACAACUGUACAGACAAAUGUAAACGGUAGCUUUUUUUGACCUAAAGCAAUGCAGGGAGUUGCAGUAAAAAGAAAAGAUGAAAGAAAGCUACUGGAUAAUAGAAAAACUCUCCCAAGAACGGAUUUGUCUUUGACUGACGGAAUCAGAACAUUUGUUUCACAUGCCACUCCCACAGCACAGGGUUGGCUUUUAGUUCUUAUAGUCUAACACCUAAAAUAUGGGUUGCAGAAAUAAUAGUCCAUUUCCAGAGCUUAGGGCCUGUUUUUUCAAUCUACUUACAAUAAAGGGGGGAAAAGAAAAAAGCAGAACUGCUUCCAAGAAGAAAAAAACAAAACUAUUGUAUAACUCUGACAGGUUGAUAGUUUGAAAUGAUUCAGAAGUCCAGGAGCCUGCCAGCAGCCAGAUCAGCAGAGAUCCAAAGCUGAGAUGCAAAACUUACCUAGCUCCUUAAGUACUCCCGGAGGACUCAGUGUCCAGAAAAACAACUAAGAGCUUGUGCUAAUCUAUGAAUGCAUAAAUGUAAAAUAACUUCAAUUAAUGCAAAUCAUGUUGUGACAGACAACGUAACAGCAUGGAAGCUGCUUGACCAACAUAUGUUGAUUUGUAUAGAAAGAUUGCGGUUUCUGGAGAGUUUCCAAGUGAGUUAAAAAAGGCUGUCAACCUGUCUGUUUCAGCCAGAGGCACAGCAAUGGUAGCUUGUGAAACAUCCCACCUGAAAAGCAUUCCACCACUUCUUCCCCUGACACACGGUGCAAAAUCUGUAGAACCACUGGAUUUUUUUCUCGUGCUUGUUUUGCAUUAAAUAAACUGACUUAACCAAUAAUGAAUCCUGCCAUCCUCACUGAUGAGGUAUAAGAAAGAAACUGGGAAGUACCAAAUGUGCAGUGCAGAAUAAAAACACCCAGCCAGCUCUUUUUUUGCAUUAACACUCAAUCACCCAUAUACAACACUGACCCAGUCUUGUAAUCCUUCCAAAGCCAAAACUGCCAGUUAGCAUCCAAGGAGCAUUUUAGGAUGAAGAAAAGGGUGCAGCAUUGCAAAUCAACUGAUCCUGCAGAGAGUUACACACAGAUUUAAACACUGUUCACAGGACUAGCUCCACUUGUAAUGCCAACAUCUGCAGUGUAAACUGAGUGCUUGCUUAAUUAACUGCAGGAGGAAGGCAAAAUCUCUGUCCAUUCACUGUGUAGUCACAGGGUGAAGAGUUCUGGCACAGGGAAUUGGGCAGGAAUGUAUGGCCAGGCUAGGGAAAGAGCAGGGUCCCUUCCUGCUCAAUGAGAGCUCAGUCACACAUCAGGUUAAACUGGUUGUCAAAUCCUGAACUGCUAUAAAGUAAUUCUUCUUCAGUGAAAGGAACUAAUCAUGCCUGCUCGCUGACAAAACAACACUGAGACCAAACAUGAAGCACAAACAAUAGAUGAUGACAAUUUCACUGAAAAAUGAAACACCAAGAGUAAAAAUGUCAUGUCCUGAGAAGGCUAAUGAGAUAUAAUACAAUGAAAAUGAGCUCAUUUUUAAAUGGGUAUUUUCAAGGAUGUGAAGUGGCAUAAAAUGAUUUCUCUGCUUCUGUUCAGAGGCAAGAAACAGACUCCCAACUGCAAUGCUGUAUAGUGUCAGUAGGGACAAACAGAAAAAUCCCUGCAAAAUCCACAAAGGAUCCCACCAAGAAAAAAAAAAGGUAUUAAAAAAAAGUUUAAUUCUACCUUAAAAGAAAUUGCAGGAUUUUCUUUCAUGCUUUAUUAUACCCUUCUUUAGCAGUCAGCUGUCCCUAAUAUCCUCUUGCAACAGGAUACUACAGAAUGCUGAAACCCCUGGUAAGUAGGAUCUGGAUGCAGUCAUCUCACCACAUCGUUGUCUCUAUGGUAACCUAGGCCAGCCCUAAAUACUAUAAUCCUGCUUUACUACAGUAAAGCCAGUUAAUGACUUUAAUUGAAUGUUCCUGCCAAAUAAUGGUGCUCUAAUAUUUAUUGACAUUUCAAGUCUGUCCAUCUCUUUGGACUAUUUGUUAUAUGGAAAAGCGAUGCAAACACAGCUUUUUUAAAAGAAAGGAAGCUACUACAGAUUUCAGCUUUUUGGUAUUAUCAAGGUGCAGUCCUGCAAACUCCAGCUUCUAAGUGGCACCACUGACUUCAGAGGCUCCAGUGGCAGGAGCCAGUCCUGCAGAGCACAGAGGAGCUGGGCAGGCACGGGAGCAGUCCUUGGCUCUUGGCAGGUUCCCAUCAGACAGUGCCAUUGGCAGUGGAUGACCAGAGCAUCCCACUGGCAUGCACUGGAUGUCCUAAUUAAAGAGUGAAUAAAUGCUGUGUGAUGGGGCCUGGGAAGAGGAGAGCACAGAACAAGUAGGAUGGGCCAAGCAGUUAAACAAGGGAGGAAAUAUUGCUUUGUCAAUACCACUGACAAUGUAAUUAUUAUUUUCCAUGAAUAUUCCACUUAAUUCCUUUCUGGGAGACAGAUGGUUAAGUCCCUGGAAAACAGAGAAGCCCUUUUGCUCCUCAUAUCAUACAGAAAGAUUGUUCUAUUUUAUUGCUAUUCUACUUUUUUAUUGCCCUACUUUUUUUUCCCUAGCUUUUUUUCUCCAGUUUUCUAUUAUUUAGUUUAAUUAUUGUGGAAAAGCUUUACAAAAUAUUAUUAUUUCUAGAGGGUUUUAUUUUUUCCUGAUGGGUGAAAAAAGCUGGCUAUAGGAUUUAAUGCUAUCAUUUUCGGUGCUACACGUGUGUAAGUUUGGAUUCAGAAGUCUGCUUUUUGUUGCUUUAAAUCACCAGACAUAAAAAUCUACCUACUGAAAUUCAGUACAAGUUUUUUUGAAGCAUCUUCCACCCUGCCAAGUCCUGCACGCGUAUGCUCACCCGGGCUCGCGUGUGCUUUUAGUAGGAUGGGGUAGCACGCCAUGAAGAAUUUAUAGCGGGAAGCAAUCUCCUGCUCUUGCACAUCCCUAAACGUUAGUGUAGAGAGUCAUUUAGAUUUUUAAUAGGGCAGGAUAAAAAAUAUAAAUAAAUAAAGUACGCAAGCAUCAGGGUUGGCUUCUCUGCGACAUAUGGAGAAGGGAUAUGGGGGUAUGCCCGGCCUCCCCGCUGCCCAGAUGAGGCGGAUUACGGGGGCCAGAGGAGAGAGAAGAGAAACACGAUUAAACCUGACAGCGCUCCAGCAGCCCCUCUCACACACACGCGGCUACCGUGGCUCCACGGCGCGGUCCCUGCCGCAGACAUCGGCAGAUGCCGGCACCAGCCCUCCCCGCGGGCUCCGCGACCCCG
Long non-coding RNA from Passer domesticus (house sparrow), 5797 nucleotides. RefSeq lists it as uncharacterized. The transcript is spliced from 3 exons. Lineage: Eukaryota; Metazoa; Chordata; Aves; Passeriformes; Passeridae. The record is from RefSeq and is a predicted model, not a curated record.